UGCAGUCGAGCGCGGGAAGCGAGCUGAUCCCUUCGGGGUGACGCUCGUGGAACGAGCGGCGGACGGGUGAGUAACACGUGGGCAACCUGCCUGUAAGAUCGGGAUAACUCCGGGAAACCGGGGCUAAUACCGGGUAAUACUUUCUUUCGCAUGAAGGAAAGUUGAAAGAUGGCUUCUCGCUAUCACUUACAGAUGGGCCCGCGGCGCAUUAGCUAGUUGGUGAGGUAACGGCUCACCAAGGCGACGAUGCGUAGCCGACCUGAGAGGGUGAUCGGCCACACUGGGACUGAGACACGGCCCAGACUCCUACGGGAGGCAGCAGUAGGGAAUCUUCCGCAAUGGACGAAAGUCUGACGGAGCAACGCCGCGUGAACGAUGAAGGUCUUCGGAUCGUAAAGUUCUGUUGUUAGGGAAGAACAAGUACCGUGCGAAUAGAGCGGUACCUUGACGGUACCUAACGAGGAAGCCCCGGCUAACUACGUGCCAGCAGCCGCGGUAAUACGUAGGGGGCAAGCGUUGUCCGGAAUUAUUGGGCGUAAAGCGCGCGCAGGCGGUUCCUUAAGUCUGAUGUGAAAGCCCACGGCUCAACCGUGGAGGGUCAUUGGAAACUGGGGAACUUGAGGACAGAAGAGGAGAGUGGAAUUCCACGUGUAGCGGUGAAAUGCGUAGAUAUGUGGAGGAACACCAGUGGCGAAGGCGACUCUCUGGUCUGUUU
This 715-nucleotide ribosomal RNA is filed under the name Halobacillus trueperi. RNAcentral's name for it is "bacterial SSU rRNA". It matches the Rfam family "Bacterial small subunit ribosomal RNA", at positions 56 to 739 of the family's 1533-position model. Lineage: Bacteria; Bacillati; Bacillota; Bacilli; Caryophanales; Bacillaceae. The record is from RNAcentral.